RNAcentral lists this ribosomal RNA (468 nucleotides) under uncultured bacterium. RNAcentral's name for it is "partial 16S ribosomal RNA". It matches the Rfam family "Bacterial small subunit ribosomal RNA", at positions 28 to 507 of the family's 1533-position model. The record is from RNAcentral.
GACGAACGCUGGCGGCGUGCUUAACACAUGCAAGUCGAACGGAAAGGCCCUGCUUUUGUGGGGUGCUCGAGUGGCGAACGGGUGAGUAACACGUGAGUAACCUGCCCUUGACUUUGGGAUAACUUCAGGAAACUGGGGCUAAUACCGGAUAGGAGCUCCUGCUGCAUGGUGGGGGUUGGAAAGUUUCGGCGGUUGGGGAUGGACUCGCGGCUUAUCAGCUUGUUGGUGGGGUAGUGGCUUACCAAGGCUUUGACGGGUAGCCGGCCUGAGAGGGUGACCGGCCCACAUGGGACUGAGAUACGGCCCCGACUCCUACGGGAGGCAGCAGUGGGGAAUAUUGCACAAUGGGCGGAAGCCUGAUGCAGCAACGCCGCGUGCGGGAUGACGGCCUUCGGGUUGUAAACCGCUUUCGCCUGUGACGAAGCGUGAGUGACGGUAAUGGGUAAAGAAGCACCGGCUAACUACGUG